UUUUGUUAAAGAAAGUGAAACUCUAGGGAGGUAGUACUUUAAUCCUAAUCUGCACUUGUAUAGUCUUUUAUUUUUUUGCACAGGUUCGUAUUUAAUUACUUGGUUCAUUAUGAAAUACUAGAUGUUGUUUCCCAGAUGCUUGACUUGGUGCAUAUUUUUAGCUCAGGGCAAGCUCUUCAAGGGCUCCUUCAAUCUCGAAUGAUGUUUAUCGCUUUGUACAAAUGGGGUUCUCUGAACAGUUGGUGAUUCGAGCAAUUAAUGAAAACAGUAUAUCAUCCUUCAAUUCACUAUCAUCUCUCUCUGUUUUUUUUUAUUAUUAUUAUUAUUAUGAUUCAAGCAAUUGAAGAAAAUGGAAAUUCAAGCUUUUGGCCUCACUGUUUCCAGAGAAAGAUGAAGCAUCAAUUUUGGAUGCUCUUCUAACAUACAUUGCUCUCGAAAGCUCCCUUGAAGAAAAACAAUGUGUUUUCAGUGAACCAAAUCCAAAUUGAAUCUGAAAGCAACUCGCCGGAUAACCCUUAUGAAGAUAGCUGUUGGAAACAAUGGAUGAUGUGUUAGAAAAUGAGAAUAUGCUGCCACUGAUGAUGGAUAUGGUUACCUAGCUGAGGAGGUCUUGGGCAGCCACGAAGAAAUGUGGUAUGCUUAUGGUCCCCCUGCCCAAGUAACAGAGUUGACCGAUUACAUACAUGAUGCUCGAAUGGAGAAGGAACACGCCCGCCAUAUUUUUAUUAUGAAAAUGUGGCCUUUGCUCCCAAGGGGGGGGGGUGGAGCACAAUGUCUUGCUUCUUGUAUGAUAUUAAGCCAGAGUUUGUUGAUUCCCUCCACUUUUGUGCUGCUGCCAGAAAAAGAGUUUAUAUUCAUAACCGAUUCCCUUCAUUGCCAAGACAACCACUUUCUAUACAAGAAGCUUUGACCUCAACCAGUAAAUGGUGGCCUUCAUGGGAUCCAAGAACCAAGCUCAACUGCCUCGUCGUCACUGUUAUCGGGAGUGCAAAACUCACUGAAAGGAUGAAAGAUCCAUUGGUGAGCCUGCUCGAAGUGACAAACAGUGUGUGCUCCAAGAAUGUAGGAAGUGGAAUUUGAUUUGGGUAUGGAAAAACAAAGUAGCACCCCUAGAACCUGAUGAAUUAGAGAUGCUGCUAGGAUACCCCAGGUACCAGACAAGAGGUGGAGGGGUUAGUAUUACAGAGAGAUAUAAAAUACUGGGAAACUCAUUUCAGGUUGACACAGUUGCUUGCCACCUUUCAGUUUUGAAAGAUGUCUGUUCUCUGGUAUUGGUGGAGCUGAAGUUGCUCUUCAUCGACUUGGAAUUCCUUUGAAAAAUGUGGUAUCUGUCGAGAUUUCAGUUUCCAAAAGAGAUGUUAUCCGAAGUUGGUGGGAACAGACAAACCAAAAGGGAAAUCUAAUUGAGAUUACAGACAUACAAACAAUCAAUGGUUCUGAUAUUGAGACGUGGAUCAGAUCAUUUGGGGGGUUCGAUCUUGUCAUUGGUGGCAAUAGAGUGAGCCGAGAUCGCCUUGAGGGUCAACAUUGUUCUCUCUUUUAUCAGUAUGUUAGAGUUCUUGGCCUAGUUAGAAAUAUGAUGUCGUGAUAUGAUGCUUAUUGAGUUAGCAAUGUAGGGUAUGACCAAUUGGUUUCUUUGAUAGAAAUAAUUUUUAUGGGCAUGACACUAAGAAAAAAUUAUUUCGAGA
Populus nigra (black poplar) is the source of this 1688-nucleotide long non-coding RNA. RefSeq lists it as uncharacterized. The record is from RefSeq and is a predicted model, not a curated record. The transcript has 5 exons. Lineage: Eukaryota; Viridiplantae; Streptophyta; Magnoliopsida; Malpighiales; Salicaceae.